GCAGUCGGAGGUAGCACAGAGGAGCUUGMCYUKGGGUGACGAGUGGCGGACGGGUGAGUAAUGUCUGGGGAUCUGCCCGAUGGAGGGGGAUAACUACUGGAAACGGUAGCUAAUACCGCAUAACGUCGCAAGACCAAAGUGGGGGACCUUCGGGCCUCACACCAUCGGAUGAACCCAGAUGGGAUUAGCUAGUAGGUGGGGUAACGGCUCACCUAGGCGACGAUCCCUAGCUGGUCUGAGAGGAUGACCAGCCACACUGGAACUGAGACACGGUCCAGACUCCUACGGGAGGCAGCAGUGGGGAAUAUUGCACAAUGGGCGCAAG
RNAcentral lists this ribosomal RNA (325 nucleotides) under Pantoea cypripedii. RNAcentral's name for it is "bacterial SSU rRNA". It matches the Rfam family "Bacterial small subunit ribosomal RNA", at positions 69 to 381 of the family's 1533-position model. The record is from RNAcentral. Lineage: Bacteria; Pseudomonadati; Pseudomonadota; Gammaproteobacteria; Enterobacterales; Erwiniaceae.